AGGGGUCAGCAAAUCCUCACUUUUUACUGGACUAACUUGCCACUUGCAACCGUUUUCUUCUUUCUCUAAAUGGAACUACCCGUGAGGGGAUGAAGUCACCGCAUGUUCCAGUGAGACGAGUCUCCAGGAUUUUCCGGCAACUUCGGUGGCAGUGUCAGGAGCCGUGAUCUCCAGAUUCUGGGCCAUUCUCACGCCUGGAAGAGGGAGAGCUGGGAGAGCAUCCAGAAAUUUGCUCCAGGCAUCUUGUUCCAUCCACAUCAGGAAGCUGGCUGCACAAAGUCUUCUCUGCAGACAUUUCUGUUUCCUUGGCAUGUGUCCUUUGGAUCGCUUUGUGGGUAAAAGGAAUGAUGGCUGGAGGCUGAGCAGCCACUGCAACCAUGAGGAUGAAACCCACACACGACAAAUGGGGGAAUAAACAGCCAAAGGUCCAGAGGUCCUUGAUGCCUACCUUCAACAUUUGUAACAGCUCUUCAUGGCUUGUCUCAAAACUUCUCCUUAACUAAGCAAAAUAAAAUCCACUUGGUUAAGACUUUGUGUUUUGAUUUCUCUUACAUGCAGCGAAAUGCACUUCUAACCAAUACUCUUUCAAAGCACAAUCUUCGCACCAUCACAAGGAAUGCUCCUGUCCGGCUCGUAGAACAAGAUUUUCUUUCCUCAUUUCACAACAUGAGGGAAUUGAGGCAGGUGGGAAGUCAUAAAGUGAGCAACUUCCCUUUUACCGAAUCAAAUUCUGCCUCUCAGCCCUUAGCUUCUGAAACCUCUCAGCAGUGUUUGAGCCACUGGCUACUUCCUCUCCCUUGAAAUUUUCUCCGUCUUUACUUCUGUGAUACUAUGUUUCCAUGCUUUGUUGUCCCACUUUCUAGGGUAUCUGAAAGGCUAUAUAAGAUUUUAACAGGGCACAGGUGGUGGAGCUAAGAGUUUAAAAUCCUUAGGUCGAAUGUAAAACUAACCCUUUAAUCCCUAAGGGUUGAAUCAAUGGAGUUUCAGUCAUUUCCAAAUUAUUUUCCCAUGUUUACUCUAUGGGUACUUAACUGUCCUUUAGAUAGUAGGUCAUUUAUUCGUUCAGUGAGUUUUUAUUAUGUGACUGCUGUGUGCCAGGUCUGUGAAAAGUAGUGUAAAAACAAACCC
This is a long non-coding RNA of Acinonyx jubatus (cheetah), 1128 nucleotides long. RefSeq lists it as uncharacterized. The record is from RefSeq and is a predicted model, not a curated record. The transcript is spliced from 3 exons. NCBI's taxonomy places the organism in Eukaryota, Metazoa, Chordata, Mammalia, Carnivora, Felidae.